GCACACAAUAUAAGCACAUGUAAACUGAAAACAUAUGAUUUUUGUGUGCUGCAACUUUUCUAAACAAAAAAUACAAAUAAAAAUACAGCCACUCUGUAAUAAUAAUACUUCAAACCAUCAAAAAGAAAAAACAAACACAUAAAGCAAAGUGCAAAAGACAUGUCUGGUUCGAUAAAUAUUUGCACAACUGAAUUUUCAAAGAUGCUAAACAGUGCAAGUCAAAAUCAAGUUGGUGAACCCAAAAAUGAAGUAAUUGGUGAAAAGCAUGAGAUUAAGGAAGGAAAUUGGAGAUUUGAAUCACUUAAGAAGUUGCCACUUCUGCAAAGUUACAACUACUAUUCUGAGGCUUCGAUUUCUAUGAUUCUUGAUUGUGUUAGCCCUUGAACGACACUACUUUAUUGUACUUUUUUAUUUUUAUUUUUGGAUUUGCUUAAUUUUUAAUUUUUGUUUGCAAAUUCUGAGUCCCCACCUUGAUAUUUGUGGGGAAUAAUGUAUAGGUUUAAUUUUGGUUUCUGUAUAAGUUUGUGUAUAAAUCUGAUUUCUUAAUAUCUAACACUCUGGUUCAUUAUUUGUCUUUAAUUCAAUUUGUUCAUAUUAUAGUGGUAAGUAUGCAGAUUAAAGUCUUACUUUGUACAGGUAGGAAAUUCAGUAUAUACAUAAUAUAACUUUAAGUGAAAAGGUCCGAAAUAUACCUAUAACUUUGGCAAAAAUUGCUGUUACACGCCUCAACUUUGCGGGUCCUAUAAUCACUAGAUUAUUUUUUAUCAUAUUUCUGUGACAUAUAUUUGUCCAGUUGGACCACCGUGUGAAUACAUCACACUAAGCGUGUAAGUGUAUGAAGUGAUUCAGCUAAGCAAAUAUAUGCCACAGAAAUACGGUAAUAAAUGGUCUAGGGAUCAUAGGACCAGCAAAGUUAGAGGCGUGUUACAACAAUUUUCGCCAAAGUUUAGGUAUAUUUCAAACUUUUCCCUCUUAACUUCAAUUACAUUAUUAGUGCAUCUAAUCUAAAUCCAUGAAGGAUGAUAUGGGAAUAAUCAUGGAUAUGGACUUAUGGGAGUACAUUUUGGGUCCGAAACUUGGUGUGUGCAAUUGAAGUGCAAAAGGGAACCUAAGUGCACUAAAAAUCAGCCAAUAUAUUACACUUGAUGGGCACCUAAGUCUCUAAGGGCCUUUUGGUCUUUUUGUAUUUUAUUUGUAACCUAAUAUAAAUAGAACGUUGUAGGGCUUUUAGACUUAGUUUAUUGAUGAUGUUGUAAGUCUUAUGACAUUGGAAAACACAAGUCCUCUCUUCUCUUUGGAGGCAAAACCGAGACUAGGAUACAACAAUAGGGUGAAUACUCUUUUAUUGUUGUUUGCUUGGAAACAUUGAUGCUUGGGAGGUGGAUUUCGAUCUUGUGUCUUUGUAAGAGAUAGGUUUAUUGUUGUGUGUAGUGUUAAGGGUCAAAGAUUGUCCAUUCUUGGGUUCUUAAGAUUAUACCUUCAUGUGGUCUGUCUAUCUAUCCUUUUACCUUCUUGUAAUCUUAUUUAUUGUUUGUGUUGUAAUCUUGUGUUCUUGUUGUUAUUGUUAAAUUCGAAUCUUGUGUCUUCUUUUUUAUCAUCUUGUGUUAAUCUUGUUCUUGUUCUUGUUGCUGUUUUGGUGUUAAAAUACACAUUGUAUCUUGUAUUCUUCUUGUUGAUAGAGAAUCCGAGAGUG
RNAcentral lists this long non-coding RNA (1693 nucleotides) under Capsicum annuum. Its description in RNAcentral is "long non-coding RNA (CANN_LNC005679)". Lineage: Eukaryota; Viridiplantae; Streptophyta; Magnoliopsida; Solanales; Solanaceae. The record is from RNAcentral.